Bombyx mori (domestic silkworm) is the source of this 1097-nucleotide long non-coding RNA. RefSeq lists it as uncharacterized. Lineage: Eukaryota; Metazoa; Arthropoda; Insecta; Lepidoptera; Bombycidae. The record is from RefSeq and is a predicted model, not a curated record. The transcript is spliced from 2 exons.
UUAACACGUUCACUGCGGAACAGGCCCAAAUCAGCCUGCCGCGGAAUUUCACCUGGUGCGGACGAAGAAAACUAUGUCCCUCUCGCUGGUGCGGAACGAUUAUCUCAGGUGUUUGUAAAGGUACGACAAAGACAAAUAUAUAUUUGAGAUUGUGGUCAAAAGUAUAGGUGUUCCCUAUAAAAACAUCACGGCAGGCCUUUAUCGGCCUAUCACGCACUGACGGUAAAAAAUAUCAACUCGGUGCGGGAGGAGGCCUAUUGUGGCCCGCCGUCCCAACAGGCUGUUGGCGGCCCGAUACCGCACAGAGCGCCCGCCUCGCCAGUUAGUGUUGGGCAAGCUAUCGGAACUGACGUACGUCACGUUUUUUUUAUUCCUUAAAAUUAAAGGCACGAUGUCAGGCAACAAAAGAAAGAUAAAAAGAUAAAAAAGGUGUUGACUUCAGCGACCAAAUGUCUGCAUAUUAUUCUACAUUAAAAAAAAAGGCCCAAAUGGUUCAGAAAAGUGGGUAUGGAAUAUUUGUUUGGCAUGGCGUUGGUAAACGCUUGGAUUAUAUACAACAUGAAAAAUGAGAAGAAGGUUUCAAAGAAAGAAUUUACAGAAGCAUUAAUACAAUCAAUUACUGGAAAAAAUAUAUGCCCUGAUAGUAAGUAUAACGACGUGCAACAUAACUGUAAUCAUCUUUAGACCUAUGUUGAAGGUGAUUCCUUCUGUUUCGUGUUGACGACGUUCUACCUCUGCAACAGGUAACUAUUGUCAUUAUUUUUUACACAUUACGAGUGCUUAGGUGGCUGUGCAUGGUCUUCGAGCAUGAGCUUUGGUUUGACUCCGUUUAUUUUUCUGCGAGCAAUGUAUGGCGUUUAUUGCACUACUCCUUGUAUUAAGGAAAUCAAGUAACACCUACGGCCGAUCAUAUCCUUGAGAUGAGUGGUAAACGGCGAAAUUGUGUAGGGUGCUAUGAAAAACGUUCCGAGGUGAAAAGGAAAGUAAAAAAAAUUAAAACAUACUGCAGAAUGUGCAAGCAAAAUCUUUGUGCGAAAUGUUUUAAAGACAGCCAUUAAUAAAUAAUUAAAUAAACAAUUUUUAUUUCUUUACUUUAA